This 575-nucleotide ribosomal RNA is filed under the name Celeribacter halophilus. RNAcentral's name for it is "bacterial SSU rRNA". It matches the Rfam family "Bacterial small subunit ribosomal RNA", at positions 57 to 680 of the family's 1533-position model. Lineage: Bacteria; Pseudomonadati; Pseudomonadota; Alphaproteobacteria; Rhodobacterales; Roseobacteraceae. The record is from RNAcentral.
GCAGUCGAACGAGAUCUUCGGAUCUAGUGGCGGACGGGUUAGUAACGCGUGGGAACGUACCCUUCACUACGGAAUAGUCCCGGGAAACUGGGUUUAAUACCGUAUACGCCCUUCGGGGGAAAGAAUUUCGGUGAGGGAUCGGCCCGCGUUAGAUUAGUUAGUUGGUGGGGUAAUGGCCUACCAAGACUACGAUCUAUAGCUGGUUUGAGAGGAUGAUCAGCAACACUGGGACUGAGACACGGCCCAGACUCCUACGGGAGGCAGCAGUGGGGAAUCUUAGACAAUGGGGGCAACCCUGAUCUAGCGAUGCCGCGUGAGUGAUGAAGGCCUUAGGGUCGUAAAGCUCUUUCGCCUGUGAUGAUAAUGACAGUAGCAGGUAAAGAAACCCCGGCUAACUCCGUGCCAGCAGCCGCGGUAAUACGGAGGGGGUUAGCGUUGUUCGGAAUUACUGGGCGUAAAGCGCACGUAGGCGGAUUAGUCAGUCAGAGGUGAAAUCCCAGGGCUCAACCCUGGAACUGCCUUUGAUACUGCUAGUCUUGAGUUCGAGAGAGGUAAGUGGAAUUCCGAGUGUAGAG